AUACGGAGGAUGCGAGCGUUAUCCGGAUUUAUUGGGUUUAAAGGGUGCGUAGGCGGACGAUUAAGUCAGCUGUGAAAUGCCCGCGCUUAACGCGGGAAGUGCAGUUGAUACUGGUUGUCUGGAGUGCCGUUGCCGUGGGGGGAAUGUGUAGUGUAGCGGUGAAAUGCAUAGAUAUUACACAGAACGCCGAUUGUGAAGACACCUCACGAAGCGGUAACUGACGCUGAGGCACGAAAGCGUGGGGAUCGAACAGGAUUAGAUACCCUGGUAGUCCACGCAGUAAACGAUGAAUACUCGCUGUUUGCGAUAUACAGUAAGCGGCCAAGCGAAAGCGUUAAGUAUUCCACCUGGGGAGUACGCCGGCAACGGU
This 370-nucleotide ribosomal RNA is filed under the name uncultured bacterium. RNAcentral's name for it is "partial 16S ribosomal RNA". It matches the Rfam family "Bacterial small subunit ribosomal RNA", at positions 523 to 895 of the family's 1533-position model. The record is from RNAcentral.